AAGAAAAAUUUCUUCUAGCUCACAAAUGGCUAUUGUUCUCGUGACAUACUUGAUACACAUAUAUAUGUGCAUGCCAAGAAGGGAAAAAAAGGAAAAAAGAAAGAAAGAAAAGAAGAACAAAAUUUACAUGGGAUGCAAUCUGAAAAAGGCUAUUAAGUUUCUUUAAUAUCCAUGGCAGAGUAGAACGUACCUUGAAGAACAACAAUUUUGCAUUACUUUUUACCCUAAAUUAAACAAACCAAAACUAUAUUAAUUCUAAUUAAGUUUCUUUCUACAUCAAGAUUGCAUAGCGCAUACUAUCAUUUACCAUAAGAUGAUUCAUCUCAGACAACUGAGCAAACUCACCACCAGAAACCCACAGCCCAUCAGCACCACUGGGAUGAGGUUGAGAGAAGCAAGAAAGAAGAGAUAAUGGUGAUAGAACAAUCCUAAACAUAGCAGAAAACCCACUUCUCCCUCUAUGUGGCCUCUCCAUAUCACGAACAAAAAUUGGAUACUCAGCUCCAUUAUUAAUAUUCAUGCCUCCAAACAUGCUUUCAUCUGCUACUCGAGGGCUUUUCCUUAUGUUCUGCAUGUUUCGCCUAAGUCUUGCCAAGCUACGCCACAUCUUAUAUAUGUUGUUUGGAUAACUGGAAAAAUAAUCUUUGCCGGAUAUGGGGAGUGGGUUUUGUAGCUAGCUAGGUUUUCAUGAUUACCAGGAUUGGAAGGGAAGGGAAGGGAAGGCAA
Molecule: unclassified non-coding RNA, 726 nt
Filed under: Hevea brasiliensis (rubber tree)
Lineage: Eukaryota; Viridiplantae; Streptophyta; Magnoliopsida; Malpighiales; Euphorbiaceae
Source: RNAcentral